RNAcentral lists this ribosomal RNA (1168 nucleotides) under Treponema sp. oral taxon 518. RNAcentral describes it as "bacterial SSU rRNA". It matches the Rfam family "Bacterial small subunit ribosomal RNA", at positions 28 to 1188 of the family's 1533-position model. The record is from RNAcentral. Lineage: Bacteria; Pseudomonadati; Spirochaetota; Spirochaetia; Treponematales; Treponemataceae.
AACGAACGCUGGCGGUGCGUUUUAAGCUUGCAAGUCGAACGGCAGGAAGGUGCUUGCACUUUCCUAGAGUGGCGGACUGGUGAGUAACGCGUAGGUGAUCUACCUUUAAGACUGGGACAGCCUUUAGAAAUAAGGGGUAAUACCGGAUGUGCUUAUUAUGUUUUGACGUAGUAAGGGAAGGAGCGUUUGCUCCGCUUAGAGAUGAGCCUGCGUCCCAUUAGCUAGUUGGUAAGGUAACGGCCUACCAAGGCGAUGAUGGGUAUCCGACCUGAGAGGGUGAUCGGACACAUUGGGACUGAGAUACGGCCCAAACUCCUACGGGAGGCAGCAGCUGAGAAUCUUCCGCAAUGGACGAAAGUCGGACGGAGCGACACCGCGUGAAUGAUGAAGGCCGAAGGGUUGUAAAGUUCUUUUGCAGACAAAGAAUAAGGAUAGAAGGAACAUGUCUAUUUAAUGACGGUAGUCAUGCGAAUAAGCCCCGGCUAAUUACGUGCCAGCAGCCGCGGUAAUACGUAAGGGGCGAGCGUUGCUCGGAAUUAUUGGGCGUAAAGGGCAUGUAGGCGGUUGGGUAAGCCUGAUGUGAAAUCUACGAGCUUAACUCGUAAACUGCAUUGGGUACUGCUCAUCUUGAAUCAUAGAGGGGGAACUGGAAUUCCAAGUGUAGGGGUGGAAUCUGUAGAUAUUUGGAAGAACACCGGUGGCGAAGGCGGGUUCCUAGCUAAUGAUUGACGCUGAUGUGCGAAGGUGCGGGGAGCAAACAGGAUUAGAUACCCUGGUAGUCCGCUCAGUAAACGAUGUACACUAGGUGUUGGGGUAAAACUCAGUGCCGGCGCAAACGCAAUAAGUGUACCGCCUGGGGAGUAUGCCCGCAAGGGUGAAACUCAAAGGAAUAGACGGGGGCCCACACAAGCGGUGGAGCAUGUGGUUAAUGCGAUGAUACGCGAGGAACCUUACCUGGGUUUGACAUCAAGAGGGAUACUAUCCAGAUAUGGUAGCGUAGCAAUACGUCUCUGGACAGGUGCAGCAUGGCUGUCGUCAGCUCGUGCCGUGACGUGUUGGGAUUAGUUCCGCCACGAGCGCAUCCCUACUGCCAGUUACUAGCAGGGUAUGCUGAUGACUCUUGCGGAACUGCCCGGUGAUUACCCGAAGAAGGGUGGGGAUUCGUCAG